GCUUGUCUCAAAGAUUAAGCCAUGCAUGUCUAAGUGUAAAUAAGUCUAUACUGUGAAACUGCGAAUGGCUCAUUAAAUCAGUUAUCGUUUAUUUGAUGAUCUCUUACUACUUGGAUAACCGUAGUAAUUCUAGAGCUAAUACAUGCACAAAAUCCCGACUUACGAAGGGAUGUAUUUAUUAGAUACAAACCAACAUCGUGGUGAUUCAUAAUAACUUUGCGAAUCGUAUGCCUCACGGCGACGAUGAAUCAUUCAAAUUUCUGCCCUAUCAUGCUCUCGAUGGUAGUGUAUUGGACUACCAUGGCUCUCACGGGUAACGGGGAAUUAGGGUUCGAUUCCGGAGAAGGAGCCUGAGAAACGGCUACUACAUCUAAGGAAGGCAGCAGG
Molecule: ribosomal RNA, 387 nt
Filed under: uncultured Rhizophydiales
Lineage: Eukaryota; Fungi; Chytridiomycota; Chytridiomycetes; Rhizophydiales
Description: partial small subunit ribosomal RNA
Rfam family: Eukaryotic small subunit ribosomal RNA
Source: RNAcentral